This 253-nucleotide ribosomal RNA is filed under the name uncultured bacterium. RNAcentral describes it as "partial 16S ribosomal RNA". It matches the Rfam family "Bacterial small subunit ribosomal RNA", at positions 524 to 776 of the family's 1533-position model. The record is from RNAcentral.
GACGUAGGGCGCGAGCGUUGUCCGGAUUUAUUGGGCGUAAAGCGUCCGCAGGUGGCAGUUCAAGUCUGCUGUCAAAGACCGGGGCUUAACUUCGGAAAGGCAGUGGAAACUGAACAGCUAGAGUAUGGUAGGGGCAGAGGGAAUUCCUGGUGUAGCGGUGAAAUGCGUAGAGAUCAGGAAGAACAUCGGUGGCGAAGGCACUCUGCUGGACCAUAACUGACACUCAGGGACGAAAGCUAGGGGAGCGAAUGGG